AUUGAACGCUGGCGGAAUGCUUUACACAUGCAAGUCGAACGGUAGAGGGGGCAACCCCUCGAGAGUGGCGAACGGGUGAGUAAUAUAUCGGAACGUGCCCAGUCGUGGGGGAUAACGUAGCGAAAGUUACGCUAAUACCGCAUACGAUCUAAGGAUGAAAGCGGGGGAUCGCAAGACCUCGCGCGAUUGGAGCGGCCGAUAUCAGAUUAGGUAGUUGGUGGGGUAAAGGCUCACCAAGCCAACGAUCUGUAGCUGGUCUGAGAGGACGACCAGCCACACUGGAACUUAGACCCGGUCCAGACUCCUACGGGAGGCAGCAGUGGUGAAUUUUGGACAAUGGACGCAAGUCUGAUCCAGCCAUUCCGCGUGCAGGAUGAAGGCCCUCGGGUUGUAAACUGCUUUUGUACGGAACGAAAAGGUCUCUCUUAAUACGGGGGACUCAUGACGGUACCGUAAGAAUAAGCACCGGCCAACUACGUGCCAGCCGCCGCAGUAA
This 496-nucleotide ribosomal RNA is filed under the name uncultured bacterium. RNAcentral describes it as "partial 16S ribosomal RNA". It matches the Rfam family "Bacterial small subunit ribosomal RNA", at positions 30 to 523 of the family's 1533-position model. The record is from RNAcentral.